Molecule: ribosomal RNA, 709 nt
Filed under: Kocuria sp. Al-Dhabi-6
Lineage: Bacteria; Bacillati; Actinomycetota; Actinomycetes; Micrococcales; Micrococcaceae
Description: bacterial SSU rRNA
Rfam family: Bacterial small subunit ribosomal RNA
Source: RNAcentral
GCCCAGCUUGCUGGGCGGAUUAGUGGCGAACGGGUGAGUAAUACGUGAGUAACCUGCCCCUGACUCUGGGAUAAGCCUGGGAAACCGGGUCUAAUACUGGAUACGACCUUCCACCGCAUGGUGGGGGGUGGAAAGGGUUUACUGGUUUUGGAUGGGCUCACGGCCUAUCAGCUUGUUGGUGGGGUAAUGGCUCACCAAGGCGACGACGGGUAGCCGGCCUGAGAGGGUGACCGGCCACACUGGGACUGAGACACGGCCCAGACUCCUACGGGAGGCAGCAGUGGGGAAUAUUGCACAAUGGGCGAAAGCCUGAUGCAGCGACGCCGCGUGAGGGAUGACGGCCUUCGGGUUGUAAACCUCUUUCAGUAGGGAAGAAGCGCAAGUGACGGUACCUGCAGAAGAAGCGCCGGCUAACUACGUGCCAGCAGCCGCGGUAAUACGUAGGGCGCAAGCGUUGUCCGGAAUUAUUGGGCGUAAAGAGCUCGUAGGCGGUUUGUCGCGUCCGCUGUGAAAGCCCGGGGCUCAACCCCGGGUCGGCAGUGGGUACGGGCAGACUAGAGUGCAGUAGGGGAGACUGGAAUUCCUGGUGUAGCGGUGAAAUGCGCAGAUAUCAGGAGGAACACCGAUGGCGAAGCAGGUCUCUGGGCUGUUACUGACGCUGAGGAGCGAAGCAUGGGGAGCGAACAGGAUUAGAUACCCUGGUAGUCCA